CAAUAGCGUAUAUUAAAGCUGUUGCGGUUAAAAAGCUCGUAGUUGGAUUUCUGUCAAGGACAACUGGUCCGCCCCUCGGGUGAGCACAUAGUUUGGUCUUGGCAUCUUGUUGGAAACUGUUGCUGCACUUGGUUGUGUGGCGCAGUGUCCAGCACUUUCACUUUGAGGAAAUUGGAGUGUUUCAAGCAGGCACAUGCCUUUGGACACAGUAGCAUGGAAUAAUUAGAUUGGGCUUUUGCUCCAACUUGCCGGUUUCUGGAGCUGAGGUGAGAAUUAAUGGGGAUUGUUGGGGGCAUCCGAAUUUAGCCGUCAGAGGUGAAAUUCUUGGAUCUGCUAAAGACGGACAACUGCGAAAGCGUUUGCCCAGGAUGUUUUCAUUGA
This 381-nucleotide ribosomal RNA is filed under the name uncultured eukaryote. RNAcentral describes it as "partial 18S ribosomal RNA". It matches the Rfam family "Eukaryotic small subunit ribosomal RNA", at positions 592 to 976 of the family's 1831-position model. The record is from RNAcentral.